Long non-coding RNA from Poecilia latipinna (sailfin molly), 1180 nucleotides. RefSeq lists it as uncharacterized. The record is from RefSeq and is a predicted model, not a curated record. NCBI's taxonomy places the organism in Eukaryota, Metazoa, Chordata, Actinopteri, Cyprinodontiformes, Poeciliidae. The transcript is spliced from 2 exons.
AAGGCAGAUGGAGAGCAUUUAAGCAGACAAAAACAGUCCAACAGUAGCAGCACUUAGAACUGGAUCUUUGUUAACAGGAGUGGCUGUGGCCUGUUGGCUAUUUUCUCCGUGCAAAGCUCUACUUUGCCAAGAAGUUAGGGGAGGAGACCUACUCCAAGACCGUCAUCCUAGUGAAAAAUGUUCUGUCACAACAUUACACCCACUUGGAGAGGUCUCCAUGGAAAGGCUUACCAGAGCUGACCAAUGAAAAUGGCCAGCAUUGCCCCUUCAGCUGUGAGACCCAGGCCUGGUCUCUGGCUACUGUGCUGGAGGUGCUCCAUGAUCUGUAGAGAUCCCAUGAAGCUGUGAGCCACUCCCCUCCUCUGACUCAUUGUCUGUCAUCACAAAACUUUUUUGUAGGAUCCCUAAAGAAUCCAAGGAACAAUGACAUCGUCAGCCAAGUUUUCCAGAAUAAGUAUUGUAAGGUAACCAGGUUAUUGUAUCAAAGCAUUUUAAGGUUAAAGCAUUUUUCUCUCUCCCUGGCCCUGUUUAAGGAAUCAACAAAAUGCCAUUUUGAUCCAGUUGAUCUCAAAAUUUAAAAAGGUUUACAGUGGUUGUCACAUUAAUAAAAAUUUAGACAGAGAUAACACUGGAAAGCACCUGAGCUGUGUUAUUGUACACGUACAGUUCAGACCAACACACACUAGAUCAGCGGAUUAUUACUAUAGUAAAGGCUUAAUUUAAUGAGGACUCAGGACACAACAGCUAGGAACCAUUUUGGUUCCUUUUUAGGGACUGUACAUGUUCCUCAAAUGAGCAGCGUUCCUAAUGUUCCUAGCUGUACUUAGCUGUACCUAGCUGUUCCUUUUUAGGACCUUUAAGACUUGUCCCUAAAAAGGAACAGUGUUCCUAGCUUCAGUGAAUGUUGUUUUCUCCUGAAUUCUUACUUUUGCUAGAUGUUGAGGAUUUUUAAUUGAAUCAUGAUGAUACUGACCUGAGACCUCCAUCAGUUCAGGUCAGGUGUUUGUGAUGUUAAAGCACAAGAUAGCUCUGCUAACUAAACACUGUGGAACUGGGUACCAUCUGCUAAUAAAUGAUCUAGAGUUGUUAUCUUAAGUUUUCUAACCUGGUGAUGGAAGCUGUACUUUUUGUCUAAUUUCUUGUGUAUUUUAGGAAAAUAAUUUUAACAAAUUAAGUUGAA